GAAGUAGAGAACGAAAUUUACCCAUGCUGCAUUGCUACGGUCUCUAUCACCGUGUACGCGAAAUAGGUUGAGUGCCACCUUAGUGGAAAGGAUGGCUGAGACAAAGGCAGAAAAAACGAACUUAGUUGCUCCUGUGAAAGCAAAACAAUCUCUUAAGCCUGGAA
This is a long non-coding RNA of Limulus polyphemus (Atlantic horseshoe crab), 164 nucleotides long. RefSeq lists it as uncharacterized. The transcript is spliced from 2 exons. The record is from RefSeq and is a predicted model, not a curated record. Lineage: Eukaryota; Metazoa; Arthropoda; Merostomata; Xiphosura; Limulidae.